RNAcentral lists this ribosomal RNA (253 nucleotides) under uncultured bacterium. RNAcentral describes it as "partial 16S ribosomal RNA". It matches the Rfam family "Bacterial small subunit ribosomal RNA", at positions 524 to 776 of the family's 1533-position model. The record is from RNAcentral.
UACGAAGGGGGCUAGCGUUGUUCGGAAUUACUGGGCGUAAAGCGCGCGUAGGCGGCUGGAUAAGUCGAUUGUGAAAGCCCCGGGCUCAACCUGGGAAUUGCAGUCGAGACUGUUCGGCUAGAGUGUGGGAGAGGGCAGUGGAAUUCCCGGUGUAGCGGUGAAAUGCGUAGAUAUCGGGAGGAACAUCAGUGGCGAAGGCGACUGCCUGGCCCAACACUGACGCUGAGGUGCGAAAGCGUGGGUAGCAAACAGG